This is a long non-coding RNA of Rhineura floridana, 458 nucleotides long. RefSeq lists it as uncharacterized. The record is from RefSeq and is a predicted model, not a curated record. The transcript has 2 exons. Lineage: Eukaryota; Metazoa; Chordata; Lepidosauria; Squamata; Rhineuridae.
AGAGGCUGCUGAACUACAGCUCCAUCACCCCUGGCCAUUGAUCCUGCUUUCUGGAGGAUCAAAGGUUUCCUACCCCUGCUGUAAAUGAAGGAUUAAAAAUGGACCAAAAAGGAGGAUUCUGGAAAUGCAUUUGUUUGGCAAGGAUGUUAUGGAGAAUCUGAUCACAGUAUCUCAUUAACCAAUCAUCUUGAUGCUGAGUUGCUGAGGGAAUGAUCAUCUCCUGGGGUGGGCAGAGCUUGAUGCGUUCCUAAUGAUGGGAAUGUGCUCUCACCCAGUCCUCCACUGUAAGGUUGCCUUAAAUGCUCCUGUUUUCUUACUGCUGUGUGACUCGGCAUGUGUUUUUUCUUUCCCAGUGGAGUUACUGAAUUGUUAUAAUACUGGGACUUGCUGUAAAUUGAUACAGGCCGUCAUGACAGUGCCAAGCACCCUGUCAUCACUCAAUAAAUUGUAAUAAUUAA